This is a long non-coding RNA of Herpailurus yagouaroundi (jaguarundi), 1638 nucleotides long. RefSeq lists it as uncharacterized. The record is from RefSeq and is a predicted model, not a curated record. The transcript is spliced from 2 exons. Lineage: Eukaryota; Metazoa; Chordata; Mammalia; Carnivora; Felidae.
GCCCCAGGGUGCUGAGAGGUCCCUUCUAGGAACCAAGUGUCCAGCACCGUCUGUGUAGAUGUUUCCUCUAAAGCCUGCCAGGGGAGGGGUCAGCACAGGCACGGUCCAGUGUGGCGCACGGGGUGCUUUUGAUGCCCUACCCCAGCCCCGGGAACGAGCAGCCCCUCCUCCCUGCAGCUACAGUUCUUGCCCCUCUCAGCCCUUGUGUGGGGAGCCCACUGAGGCACUCCAUCCCCACUGUGGCUGCGGCUUUCCUUCCUGUAAAAACUGUUCAGCGGGGGGCUUGGACCAGAAGAGUGGUUUCCAGUCCGUGCCUAGGAGUCUGCUUGCUGGUGAUGUGCUGCUGGAUGUGGGAUGCCUUAGCACUUCUGGCUAACAUGGGGCUAAAAUGUGUUUGAAGACCCCUCAGCUGGAAAGUCUGGAGGUUCUGGGGCCCAGAGCCUGGUGAUAGGUCCUCUGCUCACUUGGAUGGAUGAGGCCUUGCUGCCCAAGACCCACCCCAGGGCCUGGACUGGCUUUACCUCUCCUUCUGGGCCCUAUGCCUGCGCAGGACAGGCUCCUGCCUCCCUGAACUGCCCCAGGGGCCCUGGCCUCAGUGGUAAGAGUGUGUGUUUUGGGUGGCCGGUGGGGUCGCAGGCAUGGUCUCCAGCAUAAAGGAGGAGCCAGAGGGAUCCACUCCCUCCUGAGACCUGCCGUGAAUGUUCUAUUCCUCCUAUAGUGUUGGAAGGUGGUUACCACUCACCAAGUACUUCCUGGGUUCCAGGCACUGAGCCCCAUGGAUACUUGACAUAGUUUGGAUGGAGAAGAAGCUGCUAUGUUCCCAUUUGAUAGAGUAAAACACACAUUCAGAAAAAUGAGCCACAUGCAAGUGUGCAGCCUAACAAAUUGCUAUGAAGUGAACAUUUUUACGAUCCCAUCAAGAGAGCCUCUCUGGCACCCGUGUGCCCUCCCCAUCACAGCACCACUCUCCCGGUCUCAUCGGCAGCCCCUGCCCUGGCUUUGGUGAGGCUCAUGUUCUUGUUUUGCGAUAAAGCCUUCACCACUCAAUUGUACAUCCACUGCAGCGGUUUCCUGUUUUUGUAUUUUAUGUGAAUGGAAUCCUACAGAUGAAGCUUUGACAUCUGGCUUCUCUUGCUUGUCAUGUCUUUGAGAUUUGUCCGUGUUGCUGGGCGCAGCUGUAGUUCCUGUUCGUUGCUGAAAACCAUUCCAUUAUAUAAGUGUAUCGGUUCACGGUCCAUUUUAUCGUUGACGGACAUUUGGUUUGCUUCCAGUGUGGGGCAGUCCCAGACAAUGCUGCUAGCGACAAUUUUAUCCAUGUUUCAUGAGUUUCUCUAGGGUUAUGCACCCAGGAGGCUGACUGCUGGGUUCUAGGGCAUCAGAACCUUUUACUCUCUUCCAGGAAUUUUAUUGUUCCAGUUUUCACUCCCACCAGCAGGAAAAAAGAUAGUUCCCUUGGUUCCACAUCAUUGCUGACACUUGGUAUUGUCAGGUUUUGUUUUUUGUCAAUCUGGUGGGUGUAUAAUUAUGGCUUUAAUUUGCAUUUAGCUGAUUAUUAGUGGGCUUGAGCAUAUUUUCAUGUGUUUAUUAACCAUUGUGACUUGUCUCCUGUGAAGUGUCUAUCUAAAUGUUUUGCACAUU